Photinus pyralis (common eastern firefly) is the source of this 677-nucleotide long non-coding RNA. RefSeq lists it as uncharacterized. Lineage: Eukaryota; Metazoa; Arthropoda; Insecta; Coleoptera; Lampyridae. The record is from RefSeq and is a predicted model, not a curated record. The transcript has 3 exons.
AGUUUUGCAAGUUCAUCAGUCAGAACUAGUUCCAGUGCUUCCAAUCUGAAUUUAUGGUUAGGAAGGAUCAAUACGGCUUUGCCAUUCAUACGUGUUGAGAAAAUGAAACCACUACUAGUUGCCUGUAUUUUGUUCAUCGUCCAUCAGGUAUCAUCAGAUGCUGACAUAGCAACGAUGAUAACGCGCAUAACCGAAUCAUGUGCAGAAAGAAAUGGAGUUCUAUCUAAUCAAAUGAAUGAGCAUAUGUCAAAGGAUGAACUUCCAGAAGAUAAUGGUCCAUUUAUACAAUUCUACGAAUGCCUCAUGUCAGAUCUUGGUAUGUACGAUGAGAAUGGCGAAGUCCACUUUGAACGUGUGCCAAACAAUAAACCGGUCUACAUAGUUGAACGUCUUGGUGACGAUAUCAGUACCACCCUGAUUCUUGAGGCGUUUGAUCACUGCAACAGUCAAGUAAAAGUUUCGCCACGAGCGCUUGAUGCGAUUAAACGCCGAAACUGCGGUUUGAAGUACAUAAAAAAUAAACUUAAGAAGAGUAAUUAAACAAAUUGUCGUAAUUGGUGUUUAUUGAUACUUGUUCCUAAUUGAAAUAUGAGGGGAAGAUAUCUCAUAUCAACUGUUUUGUGGAUCUUUUCUUGUGGUGAAGUAAUACGCUAAUAAACUAAGCAAAGUAAGAACUA